RNAcentral lists this ribosomal RNA (443 nucleotides) under uncultured bacterium. RNAcentral's name for it is "partial 16S ribosomal RNA". It matches the Rfam family "Bacterial small subunit ribosomal RNA", at positions 338 to 795 of the family's 1533-position model. The record is from RNAcentral.
CCUACGGGAGGCUGCAGUGGGGAAUAUUGGGCAAUGGGCGCAAGCCUGACCCAGCAACGCCGCGUGAAGGAAGAAGGCCCUCGGGUUGUAAACUUCUUUUAUCAAGGACGAAACACAUGACGGUACUUGAUUACUACGCCACGGCUAACUACGUGCCAGCAGCCGCGGUAAUACGGAGGUGGCAAGCGUUAUCCGGAUUUACUGGGUGUAAAGGGCGUGUAGGCGGGACUGCAAGUCAGAUGUGAAAACCAUGGGCUCAACCCAGGGCCUGCAUUUGAAACUGGAGUUCUUGAGUGUUGGAGAGGCAGGUGGAAUUCCGUGUGUAGCGGUGAAAUGCGUAGAGAUACGGAGGAACACCAGUGGCGAAGGCGGCCUGCUGGACAAUAACUGACGCUGAGGCGCGAAAGCGUGGGGAGCAAACAGGAUUAGAUACCCCAGUAGUC